GAUGAACGCUGGCGGUAUGCUUAACACAUGCAAGUCGAACGAAGAUUAAAUAGUGCUUGCACAAUUUAAUACUUAGUGGCGGACGGGUGAGUAACACGUAAGAAUCUACCUUUUGGCGAGGGACAACCACUGGAAACGGUGGCUAAUACCUCAUAUAACUGAGAAGUGAAAGAUGAAUAAUCACCAAAAGAUGAGCUUGCGUCUGAUUAGCUAGUUGGUAAGGUAAUGGCUUACCAAGGCAACGAUCAGUAGCUGGUCUGAGAGGAUGAUCAGCCACACUGGGACUGAGACACGGCCCAGACUCCUACGGGAGGCAGCAGUGAGGAAUUUUCCGCAAUGGGCGAAAGCCUGACGGAGCAAUACCGCGUGAAGGAUGACGGCCUAUGGGUUGUAAACUUCUCUUCUCAGAGAAGAAUUUUGACGGUAUCUGAGGAAUAAGCAUCGGCUAACUCUGUGCCAGCAGCCGCGGUAAUGUGUG
RNAcentral lists this ribosomal RNA (478 nucleotides) under uncultured bacterium. RNAcentral describes it as "bacterial SSU rRNA". It matches the Rfam family "Bacterial small subunit ribosomal RNA", at positions 28 to 529 of the family's 1533-position model. The record is from RNAcentral.